This 62-nucleotide transfer RNA is filed under the name Petaloconchus erectus. RNAcentral describes it as "Vermetus erectus tRNA-His". The record is from RNAcentral. Lineage: Eukaryota; Metazoa; Mollusca; Gastropoda; Littorinimorpha; Vermetidae.
AUUACUUUAGUUUAAUUAAAACCAUAGAUUGUGGUUCUAGAGAUAGCUCUAGCUAAGUAGUC